ACUUUUGUCUCAGCCCGGUAUCCUGUUGAGUUUCAUUCGGAUUACUAUAUCCGUUUUAGACUUAGGACCGAAAUAGUGAAAGCCGAGGAGUCAAAACCUUUUUGAAGUUGCGCUUCUGGCGUAGAUGCUAUUAGGACACGUUCUACACUCGGAUCAUGAGGGACUAAUAGCUUGGAUUUGGAUUGGAUCUUAGGAUAGGAUUUGA
Long non-coding RNA from Arabidopsis thaliana (thale cress), 205 nucleotides. RefSeq annotates it as other RNA. The transcript has a single exon. The record is from RefSeq. NCBI's taxonomy places the organism in Eukaryota, Viridiplantae, Streptophyta, Magnoliopsida, Brassicales, Brassicaceae.